GCUCUUCUAAGAGGACAAACAUCAGUUCGUUCUCAGCGGAUUCGUCGCUCCUUCAACAAGGAGAAUUCGUAUUGUCUCGAAAACAGGAACCGGAAAUCCUUUGAACGAUUUGAUGAACCAAGAAGUGAAAUUCACUGCAAUAGACUGUUUGCAUCAAUGGAAACCAAUGCAUGUGAUGACAGCCCCAAAAUUGUCAAAGUCGAUACAUUGAAGACAAGAUCAAGGUCACGUAGGUUCAACCUCAAUGCAUUAUCAG
This is a long non-coding RNA of Hibiscus syriacus, 256 nucleotides long. RefSeq lists it as uncharacterized. The record is from RefSeq and is a predicted model, not a curated record. The transcript is spliced from 3 exons. NCBI's taxonomy places the organism in Eukaryota, Viridiplantae, Streptophyta, Magnoliopsida, Malvales, Malvaceae.